GGGGGGGGCGCGCGGGACUGGAGCCCCGCGAAGGAAGGGUCGCUCUUUGGCCGCCCGAUCGCGGGAGCCCCCCGGUGGGAGCGCGCGCACUUAUGUAAAAGCGCUGACAUGCGCGGUACGGGGACGGCGGCGAGUCUUCGCGCAUCCGCGCCCACACACUCACCGUCGGGGAGUAAAAAUAAAAUAACAUCACAGUACAACAAAGCGGUCGGCGCUCCACAUUUAGACCGGGCCACCUGGUCGCCCACGCGGAGCUCCCUGGGAGGUGGGUGGUCGCGUGUUUCAGUGCCGGGCCUCUACGAGCCCCGCCCCCAUCCGCCAGCCCCGCCUCUUUACACUACCUUAACCAACCCACUACACCCCCCCCCCCACACCUGGUGGAUCUCCCGUUCUCCUUUACACACACAUACAAGCAUACACACACACACACACACACACACACACACACACCAGAGCGUAACAAGCUGUCAAUUGUUGGGGGGCACCAGAUAAAAAUAUUAUUCUACCCGGUACCGUCCCCCCGUGAGCAUUAUAAUAAUUAUCAGUGAGUUUUUCCAGAAAUAUGUGGGGGACAUAAGCUUUGCCUGAACCUUGCUGGGGGAAACGCCUAUGAUACAUGUAACCACACACACACACACACACACACACACACACACGAGUCAUCAUAUGUUCACCACAUGUCCUGCUACAGGGUGAACGGUCGAGAGCUUAGUAUUCAGUUCACAAAGAGAGAGAGAGAUGAUGAUGAUGAUGAUGAUGAUGAUGGAAUAGAGAGAGAGAGACACACACACACAACACUGAGAGAGAGAGAGAGAGAGAGAGAGAGAGAGGAAGCAGAGUCGGAGGGAAGCAGAGUCGGAGGGAGGGACGGACGGAGGGAGGGCGGACACACACCGACAGCCGACACACACAGUCCACGCGCGGCAGAGCACCUUCAGACAGGAGAGGAAGGCGUUCCGCGCUCUCCGGCCCCUCCGCCGUCCUCUCAGGGCAAGAGCUGGAAGAAUUUAAAGAGAACACUCGAGCCCAGAACAACGCAAAUCCCUAGUGUUAAAAAAUUACAUGAACCUCAGUCUGGAAGCAUACCUGCUAGAGUGUGAUCGAUAAUCCUUACAACGUGCCAUACAGACGCAAAGAUCGUGCUUCGAUGGGCAUUUUUUUAGGAGUAUUACGAGGAAUACGUGAAUAGUUUCCAUAGUCGUAAAACACAAGGCUGGGAAAGAGACGCAAGAAGGGAAAAAGAAAGCCUUUCUGUUGGAUAUUUCUCAAGAGGUUUGCCGCAGGAAGCAGCCGAAUCAGGAGCUUUGGCCUAGUUAUAGGGGCUGGCGGUGGACGGUGAACUAUUUCCCAGCACAGGUAUG
RNAcentral lists this long non-coding RNA (1361 nucleotides) under Scleropages formosus (Asian bonytongue). Its description in RNAcentral is "lncRNA (ENSSFOG00015031482.1)". The record is from RNAcentral. Lineage: Eukaryota; Metazoa; Chordata; Actinopteri; Osteoglossiformes; Osteoglossidae.